GCAGGUAGGAAGACAAAAAAACAAACAAACACACACACAAAUAAAAAUUUCUCACUAAACUAAAGUAGGCCAACAACAACAUAAGCAAGAACAACACAAUAAAUAUCAACAAAUUGGUGGUGAUUUUCAUUUCAAAUAUUUAAAUCUUCCCCCGGCUUUAUAAAACUCGCCUUAAUUACUAGCAAAUGAUAUUUGUGCGAAGGACCACCAAAUGUGCCAUAAAUCCCUACAAUUAAGCACUUUAUCAAAAGCUUCUGUAUGCAAAACUGCAGGCCAUCCAUACAUGGAAAAAGGAGCCCAGCAACUCCCUGUACAAGCUGAGCAAACAUUCCUUAACAAUUUAUAACACUUGCACAUGCUCUCGUUUUAAAUACCUACCCAAAAAAAGAGGAAACUUUACAAUAACUACAAACUAUAGCUGCAAAAUUUAAUAGGUUGCGUGUUCUGGCCAAGAUUACAACAGGCGACACUCAGUGGGACUUUAUAUAGCUUAUGGCAGCAAGUGUGUCGUCGUCCUGCACCAUAACCACAUAUCAAUUUAUGGACAACUUCCAGGCCAUACAUAAUAAGGAUUUAAAGUUUAAUAUUUUAUUUUUCUCAACCUUUUUUUCUAUUUUUUACGUUCUUCUUGUUUAAUCUCUAGGAGAACAUAAAAAUCCAUAAAAAAUUGUGUUUUUAUAGAGAUUACAGUAGGAAAUAUAUAAAAAAAAAUCAUGAAAUAAAAUAUAUAAAAAUGAACUGCAUACUGCAGGUGCUAUCAUCUGCAGUUUCAAUUAAAACUGUAUAAUAAAAUUUUAUGG
Long non-coding RNA from Calliphora vicina (urban bluebottle blowfly), 800 nucleotides. RefSeq lists it as uncharacterized. Lineage: Eukaryota; Metazoa; Arthropoda; Insecta; Diptera; Calliphoridae. The record is from RefSeq and is a predicted model, not a curated record. The transcript is spliced from 3 exons.